AUAAAUAAAACAAACAGUAUAUGUGAUCUUAGAUGUACGAUAUAAAU
This 47-nucleotide non-coding RNA is filed under the name Trypanosoma brucei brucei. Lineage: Eukaryota; Euglenozoa; Kinetoplastea; Trypanosomatida; Trypanosomatidae. The record is from RNAcentral.